GUGUUAAAUGAUGGCAAUCAUCGUCUUUCAGGACUGACCUGAAAUGAAAAAAAAAAAAACCUCACUGCUGAUCACUU
This is a small nucleolar RNA of Suncus etruscus (white-toothed pygmy shrew), 77 nucleotides long. RefSeq annotates it as small nucleolar RNA SNORD2. Lineage: Eukaryota; Metazoa; Chordata; Mammalia; Eulipotyphla; Soricidae. The record is from RefSeq and is a predicted model, not a curated record. The transcript has a single exon.